GUAUACUCAAGGACUCUGAGCACGCCUGCUCUCGUCUGAUCUGGGAAGCUAAGCAGGGUUGGGGCUGGUUAGUACUUGGAUGGGAGACCGCCUGGGAAUACCAGGUGCUGUAAGCU
Molecule: ribosomal RNA, 116 nt
Organism: Neolamprologus brichardi
Lineage: Eukaryota; Metazoa; Chordata; Actinopteri; Cichliformes; Cichlidae
Source: Ensembl